RNAcentral lists this ribosomal RNA (905 nucleotides) under Pseudeurotium bakeri. RNAcentral describes it as "LSU rRNA". It matches the Rfam family "Eukaryotic large subunit ribosomal RNA", at positions 38 to 964 of the family's 3401-position model. The record is from RNAcentral. Lineage: Eukaryota; Fungi; Ascomycota; Leotiomycetes; Thelebolales; Pseudeurotiaceae.
GCAUAUCAAUAAGCGGAGGAAAAGAAACCAACAGGGAUUGCCUCAGUAACGGCGAGUGAAGCGGCAACAGCUCAAAUUUGAAAUCUGGCCUCACGGUCCGAGUUGUAAUUUGUAGAGGAUGCUUCGAGCAUGGUCUGGCCUAAGUUCCUUGGAACAGGACGUCAUAGAGGGUGAGAAUCCCGUAUGCGGCCAGGUGCCUACGCUCAUGUGAAGCUCCUUCGACGAGUCGAGUUGUUUGGGAAUGCAGCUCAAAAUGGGUGGUAAAUUUCAUCUAAAGCUAAAUAUUGGCCAGAGACCGAUAGCGCACAAGUAGAGUGAUCGAAAGAUGAAAAGCACUUUGGAAAGAGAGUUAAACAGUACGUGAAAUUGUUGAAAGGGAAGCGCUUGCAACCAGACUUGCGUGCGGCCGAUCAUCCGGUGUUCUCACCGGUGCACUCGGUCGCGCUCAGGCCAGCAUCGGUUUUGGUGGUUGGAUAAAGGCCCUAGGAAUGUAGCUUCUCUCGGGGAGUGUUAUAGCCUAGGGUGCAAUGCAGCCCACCGGGACCGAGGACCGCGCUUCGGCUAGGAUGCUGGCGUAAUGGUUGUAAGCGACCCGUCUUGAAACACGGACCAAGGAGUCUAACAUCUAUGCGAGUGUUUGGGUGUCAAACCCAUACGCGUAAUGAAAGUGAACGGAGGUGAGAACCCUUAAGGGUGCAUCAUCGACCGAUCCUGAUGUCUUCGGAUGGAUUUGAGUAAGAGCAUAGCUGUUGGGACCCGAAAGAUGGUGAACUAUGCCUGAAUAGGGUGAAGCCAGAGGAAACUCUGGUGGAGGCUCGCAGCGGUUCUGACGUGCAAAUCGAUCGUCAAAUUUGGGCAUAGGGGCGAAAGACUAAUCGAACCAUCUAGUAGCUGGUUCCUGCCGA